RNAcentral lists this ribosomal RNA (483 nucleotides) under uncultured bacterium. Its description in RNAcentral is "partial 16S ribosomal RNA". It matches the Rfam family "Bacterial small subunit ribosomal RNA", at positions 28 to 507 of the family's 1533-position model. The record is from RNAcentral.
AUUGAACGCUGGCGGCAUGCUUUACACAUGCAAGUCGAACGGCAGCGCGGGCUUCGGCCUGGCGGCGAGUGGCGAACGGGUGAGUAAUGCAUCGGAACGUGCCCAGUAGUGGGGGAUAGCCCGGCGAAAGCCGGAUUAAUACCGCAUACGACCUGAGGGUGAAAGCGGGGGACCGAAAGGCCUCGCGCUAUUGGAGCGGCCGAUGUCGGAUUAGCUAGUUGGUGGGGUAAAGGCUUACCGAGGCGACGAUCCGUAGCUGGUCUGAGAGGACGACCAGCCACACUGGGACUGAGACACGGCCCAGACUCCUACGGGAGGCAGCAGUGGGAAAUUUUGGACAAUGGGGGCAACCCUGAUCCAGCCAUGCCGCGGGCGGGAAGAAGGCCUUCGGGUUGUAAACCGCUUUUGUUCGGGAAGAAAUCCUCUGGGCUAAUACCCCGGGGGAUGACGGUACCGGAAGAAUAAGCACCGGCUAACUACGUG